This 812-nucleotide ribosomal RNA is filed under the name Fusarium solani. RNAcentral's name for it is "eukaryotic LSU rRNA". It matches the Rfam family "Eukaryotic large subunit ribosomal RNA", at positions 76 to 919 of the family's 3401-position model. The record is from RNAcentral. Lineage: Eukaryota; Fungi; Ascomycota; Sordariomycetes; Hypocreales; Nectriaceae.
UGCCUCAGUACGGCGAGUGAAGCGGCAACAGCUCAAAUUUGAAAUCUGGCUCUCGGGCCCGAGUUGUAAUUUGUAGAGGAUGCUUUUGGUGAGGUGCCUUCCGAGUUCCCUGGAACGGGACGCCAUAGAGGGUGAGAGCCCCGUCUGGUUGGACGCCGAACCUCUGUAAAGCUCCUUCGACGAGUCGAGUAGUUUGGGAAUGCUGCUCUAAAUGGGAGGUAUAUGUCUUCUAAAGCUAAAUACCGGCCAGAGACCGAUAGCGCACAAGUAGAGUGAUCGAAAGAUGAAAAGAACUUUGAAAAGAGAGUUAAACAGUACGUGAAAUUGUUGAAAGGGAAGCGCUUGUGACCAGACUUGGGCUUGGUUGAUCAUCCGGGGUUCUCCCCGGUGCACUCUUCCGGCCCAGGCCAGCAUCAGUUCGCCCUGGGGGACAAAGGCUUCGGGAACGUGGCUCUCUCCGGGGAGUGUUAUAGCCCGUUGCGUAAUACCCUGUGGCGGACUGAGGUUCGCGCAUUCGCAAGGAUGCUGGCGUAAUGGUCAUCAGUGACCCGUCUUGAAACACGGACCAAGGAGUCGUCUUCGUAUGCGAGUGUUCGGGUGUCAAACCCCUACGCGAAAUGAAAGUGAACGCAGGUGAGAGCUUCGGCGCAUCAUCGACCGAUCCUGAUGUUUUCGGAUGGAUUUGAGUAAGAGCAUACGGGGCCGGACCCGAAAGAAGGUGAACUAUGCCUGUGUAGGGUGAAGCCAGAGGAAACUCUGGUGGAGGCUCGCAGCGGUUCUGACGUGCAAAUCGAUCGUCAAACAUGGGCAUG